GCAUCAAUGAGGUAGUGGUAACCUGGGUCGUUGCCAUAUGUGUGUCUAAAUAAUCGCUAUCGACCCGCCGAGGGUUCGAUUCCCCUCCGAUGUA
Molecule: non-coding RNA, 94 nt
Organism: Desarmillaria ectypa
Lineage: Eukaryota; Fungi; Basidiomycota; Agaricomycetes; Agaricales; Physalacriaceae
Source: the annotation of a GenBank genome assembly